CCUACGGGAGGCAGCAGUGGGGAAUUUUUGGACAAUGGGCGCAAGCCUGAUCCAGCAAUGCCGCGUGAGUGAAGAAGGCCUUCGGGUUGUAAAGCUCUUUUGUCAGGGAAGAAACGGUUGAGGCUAAUAUCCUCGGCUAAUGGCGGUACCUGAAGAAUAAGCACCGGCUAACUACGUGCCAGCAGCCGCGGUAAUACGUAGGGUGCAAGCGUUAAUCGGAAUUACUGGGCGUAAAGCGUGCGCAGGCGGUUUUGUAAGUCUGUCGUGAAAGCCCCGGGCUUAACCUGGGAAUUGCGAUGGAGACUGCAAGGCUUGAAUCUGGCAGAGGGGGGGUAGAAUUCCACGUGUAGCAGUGAAAUGCGUAGAGAUGUGGAGGAACACCGAUGGCGAAGGCAGCCCCCUGGGUCAAGAUUGACGCUCAUGCACGAAAGCGUGGGGAGCAAACAGGAUUAGAUACCCUGGUAGUCCACGCCCUAAACGAUGUCUACUAGUUGUCGGGUCUUAAUUGACUUGGUAACGCAGCUAACGCGUGAAGUAGACCGCCUGGGGAGUACGGUCGCAAGAUUAAAACUCAAAGGAAUUGACGG
RNAcentral lists this ribosomal RNA (587 nucleotides) under uncultured bacterium. Its description in RNAcentral is "bacterial SSU rRNA". It matches the Rfam family "Bacterial small subunit ribosomal RNA", at positions 338 to 916 of the family's 1533-position model. The record is from RNAcentral.